Molecule: non-coding RNA, 20 nt
Filed under: Arabidopsis thaliana (thale cress)
Lineage: Eukaryota; Viridiplantae; Streptophyta; Magnoliopsida; Brassicales; Brassicaceae
Source: RNAcentral
UGCUAUGAUCACUACAUUAC